RNAcentral lists this transfer RNA (65 nucleotides) under Agrilus planipennis (emerald ash borer). It matches the Rfam family "tRNA". From Rfam's summary of the family: Transfer RNA (tRNA) molecules are approximately 80 nucleotides in length. The record is from Rfam by way of RNAcentral. Lineage: Eukaryota; Metazoa; Arthropoda; Insecta; Coleoptera; Buprestidae.
CUCGUAGCUUAGCGGUAGAGCAAUGGUGCAUGAAGCCAAAGGUCCUGGGUUCAAUUCCCGGCGAG